UACGUAGGGGGCGAGCGUUGUCCGGAUUUAUUGGGCGUAAAAGGCUUGUAGGCGGCCACCGCGCGUCGUGCGUGAAAUCUCCCGGCUCAACUGGGAGGGGUCGUGCGAUACGGCGGGGCUCGAGGCCGGUAGGGGGACGCGGAAUUCCCGGUGUAGUGGUGGAAUGCGUAGAUAUCAGGAGGAACACCAAUUGCGAAGGCAGCUCGCUGGGACGUUACUGACGCUGAGACGCGAAAGCGUGGGGAGCAAACAGG
This 254-nucleotide ribosomal RNA is filed under the name uncultured bacterium. RNAcentral's name for it is "partial 16S ribosomal RNA". It matches the Rfam family "Bacterial small subunit ribosomal RNA", at positions 524 to 776 of the family's 1533-position model. The record is from RNAcentral.